Molecule: ribosomal RNA, 854 nt
Filed under: uncultured Actinomycetes bacterium
Lineage: Bacteria; Bacillati; Actinomycetota; Actinomycetes
Description: bacterial SSU rRNA
Rfam family: Bacterial small subunit ribosomal RNA
Source: RNAcentral
CCGCGGGAUAGAGUUUGAUCUGGCUCAGAAUAACGCUGGCGGCGUGCCUAACACAUGCAAGUCGAACGAGAAAGUGGAGCAAUCCAUGAGUAAAGUGGCGCACGGGUGAGUAACACGUGACUAACCUACCCUUGAGUGGGGGAUAACCUAGAGAAAUCUGGGCUAAUACCGCAUAAUACCUUCGGGUCAAAGGAGCAAUUCGCUUAAGGAGGGGGUCGCGGCCGAUUAGUUAGUUGGCGGGGUAAUGGCCCACCAAGACUAUGAUCGGUAUCCGGCCUGAGAGGGCGCACGGACACACUGGAACUGAAACACGGUCCAGACUCCUACGGGAGGCAGCGGUGGGGAAUUUUGCGCAAUGGGGGAAACCCUGACGCAGCAACGCCGCGUGGAGGAUGAAGUCCCUUGGGACGUAAACUCCUUUCGAUCGGGACGAUAAUGACGGUACCGAGAGAAGAAGCCCCGGCUAACUUCGUGCCAGCAGCCGCGGUAAUACGAGGGGGGCGAGCGUUGUUCGGAAUUAUUGGGCGUAAAGGGUGCGUAGGCGGUUUGGUAAGUCUUGUGUGAAAUCUUCGGGCUCAACUCGAAGUCUGCAUGAGAAACUGCCGGGCUUGAGUGUGGGAGAGGUGAGUGGAAUUCCCGGUGUAGCGGUGAAAUGCGUAGAUAUCGGGAGGAACACCUGUGGCGAAAGCGGCUCACUGGACCACAACUGACGCUGAGGCACGAAAGCUAGGGGAGCAAACAGGAUUAGAUACCCUGGUAGUCCUAGCCCUAAACGAUGAUCGCUUGGUGUGACGGGUACCCAAUCCCGCCGUGCCGAAGCUAACGCGUUAAGCGAUCCGCCUGGGGAGUACGGU